CUACUUUAUUAUCACUUUGUUAUUAAUUCUCGCUAUGUUUACAAAAUCUUUUUGAUAAAUUGCAAAUGAUCCGUCAACUUUGAUGACAAUAUCUAUUCUGAAAAGUAAAGAAAAAUCGUUAAUUCGAUGAUCGAUACGUUAAAUAUAUUACGAGAAGAUCGAGAGAUUUAGGAUGAUCUAUAUCAAUAAAAGGAGAUCCUGAAGAGUGCACAAUCGAUUAUAAUUCGAGCGGAAGUUCCAAGCCACGUUCGAUUCGUGCGACCGAGCCGAGGGUGCGCACACUUAUAACGUCGUUCACAGUGAUCCCAACGAAAUUCAAGCCACUCUUUCACUUGACAACCCGACCGAAUGUUAACCCUGCUUUUACGAGCGUUCUCAUUGGUUGCGAAGUCGUUCGUAGACGGUUAAUAUAAUACCAACUUAUAACCAAAGCCGAAACCUAGGAGCCUCGAUUUUUGCUUUUACGAGCAGGCUCGUUUUUAAAAAUUAUCGUUAUUUUGCUCAUUCUCGGUCGAAAUAGUUUGUUCACGGACAUAUAAAUGACCUCUCGAAGAGGUGACAGAACUCAUAUUCGACAAUGGCUUAACCACAAUGUUAUGGCAUUUUCUUUCGAAAAAAUUCUUUCCAACGAGAUUAUCUUAGUCCUUUUAUGUCGACGAUCAAAAAACUUUUUAUUACGAUUGAGAGCUAUCGAUGAGUAUCCUUCGUUGAACAUCCUUUUUCUUUUUAAUAAUUAGAAAAGUUUUACGAAUCUCUCUGAAGUGUUCGAAAAUUUGUUGAAAAUAAUCUGAUUAACUCAACAAAAUAUCAAACGUAGCUGUAAUUAAGAAAUAAAAUUUUUACAGAUUCACUUUAUAAGUUUUAUUAAUUUGCGAAUGAAAAUAUCAGUUUAUUCCUGAAGUACUAAAAAAAGUAAGCAGAUCAUUCGUAAAACUUUUUUCAAAAUUUUUUCCAUUUGAUUUGUUUUCGGUCUUUAACUUAGUUAUCCAAAGAGAGUUUAUGAUAGCCGUUCACAGGAACGCUCGUAAAUGGCUAAUUGAUUUACAGUCCACGCAUUUCUACGGAUUCACGAUGAUGGAAUUAAUGCGGCGGACUCAACGUUCCGUUCUUGACAUCGUCAGACAAACGUAGUAGUAUUAAUACUGGUAGUAAUAAAAGUAGUAGGAGUAGUAUUAAUACUAGUAGUAAUAGUAGUAACAGUACUAUUAGUAAUAGUAGUAUAGUAGUAGUAGUAGUGGGAAAAUAUAUCGACGCGAACAUCGAUAAUACGUCGAAAAAAGAAGCAAGGAAAAAAGGAAAGAACGCUUAACGUUGACGUGUGCCAGGUCUUACGUGCAUAUAAUAAUUGGAUGUGUGUAUGUGUGUGCAGUUAACUUAAAAGUUCGCUAAUACUAGAAUGGUGUGGUCGUAGAGGAGAGAAGGAGAAUUGAGAACGUAAGGGGUGAUUAUGGUGAAGUAUAUGGGACUGUAAAGUUUCCAUUUACGAGCUUGCAUUUCGAGGCAUCGAGUAGGCGCUUUUAAUAAUGCGAAAGUCGUUCGUUGUUAUGCAACGAGUGUUGCUUUCGCGAAAACGUACUCAUAUUUGUACAUUAUUACUAAUCUGUCGAGUGCUCGAUAAGUCUCACAAAAUUUUUUACUUCACCACCUUUUCUCCUAAUCGUGAAAUAAUUCAUCUUAUCUGGAAGUUCUAUUUUUUUUUCUUUUUUUCUUUCUCAUUCUAUCUAAUCUAAUUAAAUUAUUUAUUUCUUACCUAUUUAUACGCCAUAAUACACACAAGUAACAAUCGAUUACUAUUAUUACAUUGUCUUACGUUUUUUUCUUUAUUCGACCAAAAAUAUUUAUCAUUUUUACUUAACAACGUGUUUACCUUUUAUGUUUUUUCUUGAAAAUACGCGUUUAAAAAAUGCAUGACGUUUACUUUCUAUUGCGUAAAUGAAAUAAAAAGAAAUAUUUGUACAUAACAUUUACUUAAUAACAUCCAAUCGUUUUUCUAGCUCAGGCUAUUAUUAGUUAAAUCAGAAAAGCUGCCAUUCUCGUACUCUCUCUCUCUCUCUUAAAAUUAUCGUAGAAAGUUUUACUUUAGUCAACCACUCUUUUCAUUCUUCGAUCUUCGAAAAAGGCUCGCUCGUAAAUCACUGAAAAUCUCAUGAUCGGCUUCCCUUUUUUCCUGUUUUACUACCGAGACGACGGCUUCUCGUUGACAGACGGUUAACUUUCGAAAUUUCUAGUCCGUUUUAUAUGACACUUUCUGUGGAAAAAAAAGAAAAAAAAAAAAAUAGAAAAAAGUAAGGAAGAAGAGAGAAAAGUAAGAAAGGGAGAGAAUGUAAGCGUUUAGUGCUGUACGAUACGAUAGCAUAACGUUUUUGAGGUCACAUGGUAACAUGAGGUAGUAUAGUAUUUACGAUCAUCUUGAGUUAGGUAACGAACGUUAGAGAGUUCACGAGUGUGUUCAAGGGUAGGUCAAGAUCUUAAAGGAUUAGACCCUUCGGUUAUCGUUCUGGUCAAACAGAUGUCAGAAUGUAUUAUGUAAAAGAAUUUCAUUGAACUGUAGUAAUAUCAAAGCCAUUAAUUAUAUAAUAAGUUUUUCACUUCACAUUAAUUAAUUAUGAUAAGCGAUUAAUCACAUAUUAAAAUAUAAUAAUUUAAUAAUGUAAAGUAAUUUGUCAAUGUUUGGCUCUUGAAAAAUUUUACUCGAAAAAAUCGAAAAAAUAUAUUCUUUUUUAGAAAGAUGUAUAUAGUGGCAAUUAAAAAAUGUUAAAAAUAAUUUUACAUUAAAGUCAAACGAAUAAAUGAAUCAAGGAUUGAUUAAUUAAUAAGAUAUGUAAAUGUUAUUAGAGAUAAAAUACUCGGUUUUCAUUAACGACGAAUGAUUUAAGUAUAUUUUAAAAUAUAAAUGAAUUAAUGGACUCUACUUAAAUUUAUCUUAAUCGAAUCCUGCAUACAGCGACGCUUUUAAAAUGGAAGAAUUCGCAUUUUAUCUGCCGAUUGCUCGGAUGAAUU
Vespa mandarinia (Asian giant hornet) is the source of this 3000-nucleotide long non-coding RNA. The record is from RefSeq and is a predicted model, not a curated record. NCBI's taxonomy places the organism in Eukaryota, Metazoa, Arthropoda, Insecta, Hymenoptera, Vespidae.